Molecule: ribosomal RNA, 434 nt
Filed under: uncultured bacterium
Lineage: Bacteria
Description: bacterial SSU rRNA
Rfam family: Bacterial small subunit ribosomal RNA
Source: RNAcentral
CGGAGGCAGCAGUGGGGAAUAUUGGACAAUGGGCGCAAGCCUGAUCCAGCCAUGCCGCGUGGGUGAUGAAGGCCCUAGGGUUGUAAAGCCCUUUCAGCGGGGAAGAUAAUGACGGUACCCGCAGAAGAAGCCCCGGCUAACUUCGUGCCAGCAGCCGCGGUAAUACGAAGGGGGCUAGCGUUGCUCGGAAUUACUGGGCGUAAAGCGCACGUAGGCGGAUUGUUAAGUCGGGGGUGAAAUCCUGGAGCUCAACUCCAGAACUGCCUUCGAUACUGGCGAUCUCGAGUCCGGGAGAGGUGAGUGGAACUGCGAGUGUAGAGGUGAAAUUCGUAGAUAUUCGCAAGAACACCAGUGGCGAAGGCGGCUCACUGGCCCGGUACUGACGCUGAGGUGCGAAAGCGUGGGGAGCAAACAGGAUUAGAUACCCCGGUAGC